CGGCCUGGGCAGCACCACCA
This 20-nucleotide microRNA is filed under the name Brachypodium distachyon (stiff brome). Its description in RNAcentral is "bdi-miR5059". Lineage: Eukaryota; Viridiplantae; Streptophyta; Magnoliopsida; Poales; Poaceae. The record is from miRBase by way of RNAcentral.